UUUGACAGAGAGAGAGCAAAAGAGAGAGAGCAUCAGCAUGGGGAGGGGCAGAGGGAGAAGCAGAUUCUCUGCUGAGCUCCAUCCCAGGAUCCUGGGAUCAUAACUGAGCCAAAGGCAGCUGCUUAACCAACUGAGCCACCUAGGUGCCCCAGCAUCCAGCUGUUUUUAAGGAAAAGAUUCAGUAUCUUACUUCCAAACAAAUUCUCCACUGAAACACAUUUAAGUGAUUAAACAUCUACGAAGUCACUUGUAUGGUAUUUAAAUUAUAUCUAGUGAAUACCUCAUGACUUCCAAUUGUUUCCAUGAAAUCUCUUCCACUUGCUUAUCCAUUAUUAAGUAAUACCUGUUUGAGUAUUGAAUUUAAAGGUAUUUCUCCAAUGCCACUUUAAUGAGCAUUUUAAUUUUUGGCUCUGGUUCUUCAAAAUGCAAAAGUAACUAAAUUGUAACAUUCAAGAAUAACUCCCAUUGGACAAUAUUACUUAAUUUCCACCUUCGAUUAUUUUAGGGAUGCUUUUUACAAAAAAAAAAAAAAAAAAAAAAAGACUAAGAAAAAUAUAAAGAUGUUCCCUUAAGGAUUAAAAGAAAAAUAUCUAAGUACUAGGAAGAUUCCAAAGUCCUAAAUAUUGAACCUUUUAUUAAAGCAAUACAAAUUGAGGUAAAUAAUUUAGAAUACUCUUGGUGUUCUCUAGGGUGAGACUGUGAAAGAAAGUUUUAAAAGGUGAAAAGGAAACAAAAAUCCAUGAAAAAUUUAUCAAGAGGACAUGACACCAAACAUUCUAUACAAAUGUGUGAGAUUAAGCUUUUCAAACCAAGGGCCAACGACUCAACACUAAAUUUCACAAAACAAGAAAUAAAAUGUAACAUUUCAGAUCAAGGGUUUUGGGACUUCAUUAAAAAGUAAAGACAAUAGCAAACCCUCUAUUAUAAAUUAAAAUUUAUUUUUUACCCAAGUCAACAAAAACUAUAAAUAAAAAGGGAGACAUUACCAUCACUGAUGCCCCAGAAAUGAAAAGGAUUGUACAGGUUACCACAAACAAUUAUACUCCAACAAACAGACAAUCUAUAAGAAAUGGAAAAAUUUCUAGAAACAUACCACUAACCAAGGCUGAAUCAGGGAAGAAAAAAAAAGGAAAUCGAAAAUCUGAAUAGACCAAUUACUAGUAAAAAGAUUGAAUUAGUACUCAAAGAUCUCCCAACAAAAAAAAAGCCCAGGCCCAGAUGGCCUCACUGGUGAAUUUCAUUUAAUUCUGAAGAAUCAACACCAAUCCUUUUCAAGCUCUUCAAAAAAUCAAACAGGAGUGAGCACUCCCAAACUCAUUUUAUGAGGCCAGCAUUAUCUGGACACCAAAACCAGAAAAAGGACACUACUAGAAAACAAAAUAAAGCAAAAGCAACCCCCCCCCCAAAACUAUAGGUCACUAUCCUUCAUGAAUAUAGAUGCAAAAAUUCUCAAUAAAAUACUAGUAAACCAAAUUUAGCAGCAUAUUAAAAGAAACAUUUACCAUGAUCAAGUGGGACUAAUCCCUGAGAUGCACAAAUGAUUCAACACCAGCAAAUCAAUCAAUGUGAUACAUCACAUUAAUGGAAUAAAAAAAAAAAAAGAAUGAUGGUAUCUCACUAGAUGCAGAAAAAGCAUUUGACAAAAUUCAGUAUCUUUUUGUGAUAAAAACUCUUAACAAAUUAGGCAUAAAAGAAAUAUCUCAACAUAAUAAAGGCCUUACAUGACAAACCCACAGCUAAUGUCCCAUUCAGUGACGAAAAGUUGAAAGUUUUUGCUCUUAAAUCAGAAACAAGACAAUGGUGUCCAAUCUCGCCACUCCUAUUUUUUUUUUUCGCCACUCCUAUUAGACAUGGUACUAGAAGUCCUAACAAUCAGGCAAGAAAAAGAAAUAAAGGUAUCAGAAUUAGAAAGGAAGUAAAACUUGUCCCUAUUUGCAGUUGAAAUGGUUUUAUAUAGAGAAAAUCCUAAAGACUCAACCAAACAAAAAACUGUUAGAUGUAAUCAAUAAAUUAAGUAAGGUCACAAGAUGCAAAAUGAACAUACAAAUAUCAGUAGCAUUUCUAUAUACUUAGCGACAGAUUUUCUGAAAAAGAAAUUGAUCCUAUUUACAAUAGGAUCAAAAACAAAAUACUUAGAAAUAAAUGUAAGCAAGUGAUUCAUCUCCACUCUGAAAACUACAAGACACUGAUGAAAGAAAAGGAAGAAGACAAAUAAAUGAAAAAGUAUCCUGUAUUCAUGCACUGGAACAAUUAAUACUGUUAAACUGUCAAUUCUACCAAAAGCCAUCUAUAGAUUGAAUGCAAUCCCUGUCAAGAUUCCAAUAGCAUUUUUUUCUUUUACAGAAGUAUAAAAACCACUCUUAAAAUGUAUAUGGGACCACAAAAGACACCGAAUAGCGCCCCCUUCCCAAAUCCUAGGAAAAAAAAGAUUAAAGCAGGAGGUAUCACUUUCUGAUUUCAAGCUAUACUAUAAAGCUAUAGUCAUCAAAAUAGCACAUAUUUGCAUAAAAAGAAAUAGACCAAUGGAACAGAAUCAAGAGCCCAGAAAUAAACCCAAGCACACACAGUCCACUAAUAUUUGACAAAAGAUUCAAGAAUACUGAAUGGAGAAAAGCCAGCCUUUUCAAUUACUGGUGUUGAUACAAUCGGAUAUUCAUAUGUGAAAGAAUAAAACUGGACCCACGUCUUCUACCAUUCACAAAAAUUAACUCAAAAUGGAUUAAAGACUUAAAAAAUGUAUGACCUGAAAUCAUGAAAUUCCUAGAAGAAAACAGGAAUAAAGCUCCUUGACAUGGGUCUUGGUAACAAUUUUUGGGAUAUGACACCUAGCAACAGAAGCACAAGCAAUGAAAUAAAAAAUAAACAAGUUGACUAAUAAAACUAAAAAGCUUCCACACAGCAAAAGAAAUCAUCAUCAGAGUGGAAAGACAACCUAUGGAAUGGGAAAAGAUAUUUGCAAGCCACAUAUAUGAUAAGUAUUAAUAUCCUAAAAAUAUAAAGAACUCAUAUAACUUAAUAGCAAAAAACCCCAAGUAACCCAUUUUAAAAAAGGGCAAAGAACCUGAAGAGACAUUUCUCCAAAGAAGAUACAUGAAAAGCUAACAGGUACAUGAAAAUAUGUUCACCAUCACUAGGCAUUAGGGAGAUGCAAAUUAAAAAAACAAUGAGAUAUCACCUUAUGCUUGUCAGAAUGACCACCAUCAAAAGAUAAGAGAUAACAAAUGCUGAUAUGAAUGUGAAGAAAAAAAGCCCUUGUACACUCUUGGUGUGACUGUAAACUGGUACAGCCACUAUGGAAAACAGUAUGGAAGAUCCUCAAAAAAUGAAAAAUAAACUUACCAUAUGAUCUGGUGAUUCUACUUCUGGGAAUAUGUCCAAAGCAAACAAAGAUACUAACUUGAAAAUAUAUCUGCGCUCCCCAUGUUCACAGCAGCAUUAUUAACAACAGCCAAGACAUGGAAAUAACCUAAGUGUCUAUGGAUGGAUGGAUGGAUAAAGAAGCUAUACACACACAGGAAUAUUAUUCAGCCAUAAAAAGAGGUAGAAAUCCUACCAUUUGUGACAACAUGGAUGGCCACUGAAACAUUAUGCUAAGUGAAAUAGUAAGUCAGACAGAGAAAGGCAAAUAUGUUAUGAUCUCACUUAUACAUUGAAACUAAGGAAAAACAAAAACUCAAAGAGAUCAGACUUAUGGUUACUAGAGGCAGAGAGCUGUGGAAGGGCAAACUGGAAGGAGGUAAUUAAAAGGUACAAACUUCCAGUUAUAAGAUACAUAAGUCCCAGGGAUGUAACAUGCAGCUAACACUGCUGUGUGAUACAUAGGAAAGUCGUUAAGAGAGUAAAUCCUAAGAGUUUUUAUCAUGAGAAUAAUUGAAUAAUUUUUUUUCUUCUUUUUAAAAAACUGCAUUUAUAUGAGAAGAUGGAAGUUAGCUAAAUCUAUUGUGGUAAUCAUUUCGCAAUAUAUGUUUUGUCAAGCCACUAUGCUGUACACCAUCAACCUGUAGUGAUGUAUGUCAAUUGUUCCUCAAACUGGAAAAACAAAAGAAUCCUAAGUAUUUGUAAACUUUUGAAAAACUGAGUUAUUUUGUCUGAAAAACUGUAAGUAUCAAUUGUUAUUCUCUUAAUUAUUGCAACUACUGUUUUAUUCCACUUUAAAAUGGUCUUAUCUAUAAAUGGAUGUGGCUUUAUUAAAAUAAAAUCUAACAGACCACCACGACAUAAUAGAAGCGUAAUAAAUCAGUGACAGAAAUGGGAAAAACAAAAGUUUUUGAAAAAAAAUUAAGGAAAAAAUAGAAGGAACAUGCAAUUGCUGCCAUUUCAAGCAGGGAAUAACGAGGGCAUGGUAAAAGAGGAAGCCUGAAAUUUCAUUUAUUGGAACAUAUUUCUAAUUUAUUUUAAAAAAGGAAUAAAUACUCAUUGAUGUCCUUUGAUAUAAUUUGAAUUUCAAGACAGUCACUUUCUUUGUAGUAUUAUCUCUAUCAAAAGAUGGAUGUGUGAUUGUACAAUUUGACAGGUGCCAAGAAAAUAAAUUUAUCUAAAAACAUUUUGCUCAAAUAGUUGAGGGCCUCAACAUUAAAUUGGAACAAAAGAGCUAUUUGCCCUCUCCCAGGGGUUUUCAUUUUAGAUGAAAAUAGUCUUCAAAGACUGGUAAGAGAAGCCACUGACACUGUAGUGAGUAAAACAGCUGCCCAGAUUGCCCUCCAUUGCCACUUGAGGGACUUACAUAUUUUUGCCCAAGGCCAAAUUUGCUCCUAACUUCCAGGUCCAUCAGCUUUAACUUGCUGUCAGCUGCUUCCAUAGGAGUAAAAGAGUGUCACUCACAUUCCCUAUUAAGAGAGAGUCACUAGGACACACUAGUGCUUGACUGACUCAAAUGUUCAAUAGAAGGACAUACGUAUCUGAGGACCUCUUCAACUCUAAAAUGCUUUGAUUCUAAAAUGCUAUGAUUCCAAGUAAUUUAUCAAAUUGUAGUUGAUAAAAAUGACAAGCAUUUUAUUUAUUUAUUUAUUUAUUUAUUUAUUUAUUUAUUUAUUUAUUUAUUUAUUUUAAUGGCAAGCAUUUUAAUCAGAAAGAUGACAAUGCUAUCAGAAAGUUGUGUCCUGAUCAAUAUGUGUUGUAGUCUUUCUAGAGAAGUCUGAGGGAAGGAAAUGAUUUUGAAACAGCCAUAUGCCCUACCCAUCCAAUCUCCCCAGAUUAUUUAUCUUCACUGCUUUCUUUUCUUUUCUUUUCUUUUCUUUUCUUUUUUCUUUUCUUUUCUUUUCUUUUAUUUAUU
RNAcentral lists this long non-coding RNA (5272 nucleotides) under Canis lupus familiaris (dog). Its description in RNAcentral is "lncRNA (ENSCAFG00000056911.1)". The record is from RNAcentral. Lineage: Eukaryota; Metazoa; Chordata; Mammalia; Carnivora; Canidae.